UUGCCUUAGUAGCGGCGAGUGAAGCGGCAAAAGCUCAAAUUUGAAAUCUGGCACUUUCAGUGUCCGAGUUGUAAUUUGAAGAAGGUAUCUUUGGGUCUGGCUCUUGUCUAUGUUUCUUGGAACAGAACGUCACAGAGGGUGAGAAUCCCGUGCGAUGAGAUGACCCAGACCUAUGUAAAGUUCCUUCGAAGAGUCGAGUUGUUUGGGAAUGCAGCUCUAAGUGGGUGGUAAAUUCCAUCUAAAGCUAAAUAUUGGCGAGAGACCGAUAGCGAACAAGUACAGUGAUGGAAAGAUGAAAAGAACUUUGAAAAGAGAGUGAAAAAGUACGUGAAAUUGUUGAAAGGGAAGGGCUUGAGAUCAGACUUGGUAUUUUGUAUGUUACUCUUUCGGGGGUGGCCUCUACAGUUUACCGGGCCAGCAUCAGUUUGGGCGGUAGGAGAAUUGCAAAGAAAUGUGGCACUGCUUCGGUAGUGUGUUAUAGUCUUUGUCGAUACUGCCAGCCUAGACUGAGGACUGCGGCUUCGGCCUAGGAUG
This 534-nucleotide ribosomal RNA is filed under the name Lodderomyces metapsilosis. RNAcentral's name for it is "eukaryotic LSU rRNA". It matches the Rfam family "Eukaryotic large subunit ribosomal RNA", at positions 75 to 625 of the family's 3401-position model. The record is from RNAcentral. Lineage: Eukaryota; Fungi; Ascomycota; Pichiomycetes; Serinales; Debaryomycetaceae.